Zingiber officinale is the source of this 468-nucleotide long non-coding RNA. RefSeq lists it as uncharacterized. The record is from RefSeq and is a predicted model, not a curated record. NCBI's taxonomy places the organism in Eukaryota, Viridiplantae, Streptophyta, Magnoliopsida, Zingiberales, Zingiberaceae. The transcript has 2 exons.
GGGUAAAGGAAAAAGAAAAGGAAGUGGGGGGAAAAGAAAAGGAAGUGGAAGGGGACGGCCGCCGUCGUGGUCGUUCUCACCAAAGCAUUGUAAGAGGACAAAAGCAUGAAGUUCUUAAGAGAGGCGUUCCGACCAAAGGCUCCUCGCUCGUGCUCCCUAUCUCCUUACACCGAGGAUCGAGAUUUGAGCAUUUUACAAACACAUGCACUUCUUAAGCCCCUGUCCUUUUGUUUGCUGGAUCUGCGGCAUUCAAAUAAUAUUAUACAUGUGAUAAUAAUUAUGAGGUUGAAGGCUCUGACUCUUGACUAGACUGGGCCACUGCAGUACACACCCGAGGACCCCGUUGCUCACCGCGUUAGGAUAGGACAAUAAUUUUUAUGGUUUAUGUGGGAGAAAAAAAAUAAUAAUAAAGAAGUAUGCUUAAACAUUAUUCCUAAGUUCUUGUUAUAAUUAGACUGAUUUCUUUGA